CACGUAGGGGGCAAGCGUUGUCCGGAUUUAUUGGGCGUAAAGAGCUCGUAGGCGGUUCGGUAAGUCGGGUGUGAAACCUCCAGGCUCAACCUGGAGAUGCCACCCGAUACUGCUGUGACUAGAGUCCGGUAGGGGAGCGUGGAAUUCCUGGUGUAGCGGUGAAAUGCGCAGAUAUCAGGAGGAACACCAGCGGCGAAGGCGGCGCUCUGGGCCGGAACUGACGCUGAGGAGCGAAAGCGUGGGGAGCAAACAGG
RNAcentral lists this ribosomal RNA (254 nucleotides) under uncultured bacterium. RNAcentral describes it as "partial 16S ribosomal RNA". It matches the Rfam family "Bacterial small subunit ribosomal RNA", at positions 524 to 776 of the family's 1533-position model. The record is from RNAcentral.